Manacus vitellinus (golden-collared manakin) is the source of this 424-nucleotide long non-coding RNA. RefSeq lists it as uncharacterized. NCBI's taxonomy places the organism in Eukaryota, Metazoa, Chordata, Aves, Passeriformes, Pipridae. The transcript is spliced from 3 exons. The record is from RefSeq and is a predicted model, not a curated record.
CCAGGAGCUCCCCCGGACCUGCCAGCUGCUGCAGGAGGAGUGAGAAGGACCCCACCUCGAGUACUGCUCCCCCCGAGACUAUUCUUGCCCGAUGUUCACACAGAUACGCAGACACAGGCCCAGUGAGGUCAGCUCAUUUUCCUGAGAGGCUCUGGCAGCGGCGCGUACCUCGUGUGCGGUGCCCAGCUCUCCGUGCAUGCAUUUCGCCAGCCGAGCAGCAAACGAAGUGGUGCCAUCAAAACUCUGGUUGUUUCACUGUAUGGGAAAAUUGCCAAGUGAGCACCCUUCAGAGAAUACCACAUAACAUUUUGUUCUGGAUAAAGCUGUAUUCCUUGCUUUGGUUUGAAAAUCUGCUGAGUGAUUAUACCUCAGUCCUGUAUAAUCUACUGAUCUGCAUAACCAAUAAUAAACAUGAAACAGUGCA